AAAGUCGUAACAAGGUUUCCGUAGGUGAACCUGCGGAAGGAUCAUUACAAAUCCAUCCACGUCUCAUUCCUUUGAGACCACGUUGAAAUGUUCCCUAGCGUUCCGCGCGAUCAUUGCGCGUGCUUAGCCUUCACCGGCCAGAGCGCGCAGUGUUGGCGACGACGGCGCUAGGCUUGUAAACUAGUAUCCUCUGUUGCUCAAAUGUAUCUUUCUUGAUUGUAAUGAUCAAGGCAAACAAAGUACAACUUAUAACAAUGGAUCUCUAGGCUCUU
RNAcentral lists this unclassified non-coding RNA (272 nucleotides) under Ascomycota sp. Its description in RNAcentral is "partial contains small subunit ribosomal RNA, internal transcribed spacer 1, and 5.8S ribosomal RNA". The stretch from base 1 to 47 matches the Rfam family "Eukaryotic small subunit ribosomal RNA", at positions 1785 to 1831 of the family's 1831-position model. Lineage: Eukaryota; Fungi; Ascomycota. The record is from RNAcentral.